UACGUAGGUCCCGAGCGUUGUCCGGAUUUAUUGGGCGUAAAGCGAGCGCAGGUGGUUUAUUAAGUCUGGUGUAAAAGGCAGUGGCUCAACCAUUGUAUGCAUUGGAAACUGGUAGACUUGAGUGCAGGAGAGGAGAGUGGAAUUCCAUGUGUAGCGGUGAAAUGCGUAGAUAUAUGGAAGAACACCAGUGGCGAAAGCGGCUCUCUGGCCUGUAACAGACACUGAGGCUCGAAAGCGUGGGGAGCAAGCAGG
RNAcentral lists this ribosomal RNA (252 nucleotides) under uncultured bacterium. RNAcentral describes it as "partial 16S ribosomal RNA". It matches the Rfam family "Bacterial small subunit ribosomal RNA", at positions 524 to 776 of the family's 1533-position model. The record is from RNAcentral.